This 604-nucleotide long non-coding RNA is filed under the name Equus caballus (horse). RNAcentral describes it as "lncRNA (ENSECAG00000055506.1)". Lineage: Eukaryota; Metazoa; Chordata; Mammalia; Perissodactyla; Equidae. The record is from RNAcentral.
UAGAUGCCACAUGCUAUUGCAAAUGAAAACAUUAAGGUACAAAGAAGGAAACUGACUUAGUUCAAGUUAUUUGACAACCAACGUGAAAAAGAGCUUAAGCAACAGAAUUAUCCAGGCGUGAAGGCUGAAAGCAGCUUGAUAAAUACCUUCCACCAGUUUGAAGAAUAGUCAACAUCAGAGCCUAUUAGUGCUGUCCUUGGGAAGACUAAGUGCUUUUAGAAAGUGUACCUUGGAAUAAACAAAAGACAAGCACAAUCUGAUGAGACAACUGAAACACAAAGAUGCUACCUAGCUUGUCUAAGGAAGCAGCAGAGCCAAGACUGAACCCAAGCACUCUGGCCUUAACUGAUGGCUUCUGGCGUCAUGGCCUUACUGUGUUCCUGUGGCAACAGAGGUGGAUGGGAGAGGGCUCUGAUCUGUAAGUGGAUCCUUGUACUUCUGUGGAAAGGAUGUCCCCUGUCCAUCUUGUCCUCGAUCUCCCUGCUGGCUCCUGGUGAUGAAGUCUGCUAAGGUUGAUGGAGAACUUGUGGUCUAGUUUCUCUCAGAGUAGUCUGGUCUGUUGACUCAGACCCACUUCAGCUGUUGGUGAUGCUGCAUAUCCCCC